This 403-nucleotide ribosomal RNA is filed under the name uncultured bacterium. RNAcentral describes it as "partial 16S ribosomal RNA". It matches the Rfam family "Bacterial small subunit ribosomal RNA", at positions 28 to 526 of the family's 1533-position model. The record is from RNAcentral.
GACGAACGCUGGCGGCGUGCCUAAUACAUGCAAGUCGAACGCAGUGGGGACGGGUGAGUAACACGUGGGUAACCUCCCAUCAGAGGGGAUAAAACUUGGAAAAAGGUGCUAAACCGAUACUGAUGGAUGGACCCGCGGUGCAUUAGCUAGUUGGUGAGGUCACGGCUCACCAAGGCCACGAUGCAUAGCGGACCUGAUAGGGUGAUCGGCCACACUGGAACUGAGACACGGCCCAGACGCCGACGUGAGGCAGCAGUAGGGAAUCUUCGGCAAUGGAAGAAAGGCUGACCGAGCAACGCCGCGUGAGGGAAGAAGGUUUUCGGAUCGUAGAACUCUGUUGUUAGAGAAGCGGUAUCUAACCAGAAAGCAACGGCUAACUACGUGCCAGCAGCCGCGGUAAUUC